Molecule: ribosomal RNA, 427 nt
Filed under: uncultured bacterium
Lineage: Bacteria
Description: bacterial SSU rRNA
Rfam family: Bacterial small subunit ribosomal RNA
Source: RNAcentral
UGGGGAAUCUUGCGCAAUGGGCGAAAGCCUGACGCAGCAACGCCGCGUGAGGGAAGAAGGCCUUCGGGUUGUAAACCUCUGUCAGGGGGAAAGAAGGCACCUGGGUUAAUAGCCCAAGGGCUGACGGUACCCCCAAAGGAAGCCACGGCUAACUACGUGCCAGCAGCCGCGGUAAUACGUAGGUGGCGAGCGUUGUCCGGAAUCAUUGGGCGUAAAGAGCGCGUAGGCGGCUUGUCAGGUCUGAUGUGAAACCCUGGGGCUCAACCCCAGGCGUGCAUCGGAAACCGGCUUGCUAGAGUCUGGGAGAGGGGAGUGGAAUUCCUGGUGUAGCGGUGAAAUGCGUAGAUAUCAGGAGGAACACCAGUUGCGAAGGCGGCUCCCUGGAACAGUACUGACGCUGAGGCGCGAAAGCUAGGGGAGCGAACAG